AUGUGCAUUGAUGCUACUAUAAAACACAUUGACGGGGUCAUAUUAUAUUUUAAGAAGUACAGAGAUGAAGGCUUUCAAGCUAGUAUUGAGAUAGCAAAAGCCAUUGCAUCUGAUAUGGACAUAGAGCCAGAAUUUCCUUCAAAACGUCAACGGAAAAGAAAGAGGCAUCAUGAUGAAAUCAAUGAUCAAGACGAAGAAAUACAAUUGUCAGCUAUGGAAUCCUUCAGAGUUAAUUACUUUCUAGUCAUCGUUGACAAUGCAAUUCUUUCAUUCACCAGUCGCUUUGAUCAGUUGAAGAAAUUUGAAAAGGUGUUUGGUUUCUUAUUUAAUUCAAAAAGUCUGAAGUCCUUGGAUGAUAGCAAACUACCGGAAUGUUGCGCUACUUUUGCAAAAGCUUUUUUUGAUGAUAAAUCAUCUGAUGUUGAUCUUCAUAAUUUUGUCUCAGAAUUAAAAGUGUUGCAGACUUUGCCAGAAGGUUUGAUGUCAGCGCUUGAGAUUCUUCAGUUUGUUAUGGUUGUAGAUUGCUAUCCAAAUGUCUCUGUUGCCUAUCGGAUCCUCUUAACAGUGCCUGUAGCCUCAGCUGAAAGAAGUUUCUCUAAACUGAAAUUACUGAAAAAUUAUUUGAGGUCAACUACGUUGCAAGAUAGAUUGAAUGGUAUGGCUAUGUGUUGCAUUGAGAAGGACAUCUUGGACAAUGUUGAUCUUGAUUGUGCCCUUAAUGACUUUGCAUCAAGAAAUGCCCGAAGAAACUUUUUUUGA
RNAcentral lists this ribosomal RNA (759 nucleotides) under Triticum aestivum (bread wheat). RNAcentral describes it as "partial small subunit ribosomal RNA". The record is from RNAcentral. Lineage: Eukaryota; Viridiplantae; Streptophyta; Magnoliopsida; Poales; Poaceae.